UACGUAGGGUGCAAGCGUUGUCCGGAUUUAUUGGGCGUAAAGAGCUCGUAGGCGGUUUGUCGCGUCUGCCGUGAAAGUCCGGGGCUCAACUCCGGAUCUGCGGUGGGUACGGGCAGACUAGAGUGCGGUAGGGGAGGUUGGAAUUCCUGGUGUAGCGGUGAAAUGCGCAGAUAUCAGGAGGAACACCGGUGGCGAAGGCGGGUCUCUGGGCCGUACUGACUGACUGAGGAGCGAAAGCGUGGGGAGCGAACAGG
This 254-nucleotide ribosomal RNA is filed under the name uncultured bacterium. RNAcentral's name for it is "partial 16S ribosomal RNA". It matches the Rfam family "Bacterial small subunit ribosomal RNA", at positions 524 to 776 of the family's 1533-position model. The record is from RNAcentral.